This 496-nucleotide ribosomal RNA is filed under the name uncultured bacterium. RNAcentral's name for it is "partial 16S ribosomal RNA". It matches the Rfam family "Bacterial small subunit ribosomal RNA", at positions 29 to 507 of the family's 1533-position model. The record is from RNAcentral.
AUGAACGCUGGCGGCGUGCCUCAUACAUGCAAGUCGAGCGAACGGACGAGAAGCUUGCUUCUCUGAUGUUAGCGGCGGCCGGGUGAGUAACACGUGGAUAACCUACCUAUAAGACUGGGAUAACUUCGGGAAACCGGAGAUAAUACCGGAUAAUAUUUUGAACCGCUUGGUUCAAAAGUGAAAGACGGUCUUGCUGUUACUUAUAGAUGGAUCCGCGCUGCAUUAGCUAGUUGGUAAGGUAACGGCUUACCAAGGCAACGAUGCAUAGCCGACCUGAGAGGGUGAUCGGCCACACUGGAACUGAGACACGGUCCAGACUCCUACGGGAGGCAGCAGUAGGGAAUCUUCCGCAAUGGGCGAAAGCCUGACGGAGCAACGCCGCGUGAGUGAUGAAGGUCUUCGGAUCGUAAAACUCUGUUAUUAGGGAAGAACAUAUGUGUAAGUAACUGUGCACAUCUUGACGGUACCUAAUCAGAAAGCCACGGCUAACUACGUG